UUUUUACUGUUAUUUAAAAUGUAAUUGAAACUGCCUAAAUUAAGUGGAUGAUUUGAUAGUAAAGACUGUAAUCCUAAUAUGUCCGUAGCCAACAAAGUGAGUUAAAGAGUGAAAACUAUCUAGAAAGGGUGAUUCUGUAUAGUGUAAAAGUACAUUGAACUGAAACAGAAAAGAUAUGAAUUCUAGCCCCAGUUUUAUGCAGUAAAACCAAUUUUGUGCACCUCUACAGACAAGUUACCUCUCUGGGUAGAACCUAUCUAGCCAGAGAGAGUAACAAAGAAACACAACAAGACAAAAACACACAGGAGAUUUGGGUUACAACAUCAUUAAUGUCCCUUCCUGUUCUAAGACAUGAGUUUUACUUAUUUUUAAAGGCUGACACCAUAUCAAAGAAAGUAAGGCUUUAGAGAUAGCAGCAGAAGGUUCUGGGACCUCUUUCUUACAUGAACAGCAGUCAAGUAUAUUUUUAUAAGAGAAAAGAUGACUCCAGGAACAUAAAUGCCUGGAGAAGUACAUCAGCAACUUGCCAAAACACUGUAAACAAGCUGGUCAAGAUCAAUGUGUAACCAAGCUAGCUGCUGAGCACCUAUUGUAUUAAUUUAGGACUGAUAUAUAGAGAUAAAAGGAGGAAAUUGUUUGCAUGAAAUUAACCGGAGUCACUGCUCUACCCUAAAUUGGAAAUCUUUCUUCCCAGAGAAUCAUGCUUCUCUAGAUCUUGAUUCAGGAAACAUCCGAGAAACAGGUAAAAGUAUAGAUUGUUUAAUCUGGGGUAGGGUAUGUUUUAGUAUUAAUUUUACAAGUUAAAAUCCAAAUUUCCUUCAGAACAUGGACCUAACAGAGAAGAAGAUUGGUGGAAGUUAGUUCACAGUGCGUAAUGACUGGCUUUCUAUUGCCAGACAAUGUGUAUAAUUUUAUUCUAAAUUGGAGUACAAUGAUACAGAUAGAAAUCAAAUCAAGGAAAUCUCCUUUUUAAACUGCUUAAAUAAUUUCUUAGAUGCAUGCUAAUUUUUUAACAUGCAUUCAAUUCUAUCUCAUCUCCUUCAAUUUCUUAGCUGCUUUUGGUACAACU
Sapajus apella (tufted capuchin) is the source of this 1069-nucleotide long non-coding RNA. RefSeq lists it as uncharacterized. The transcript is spliced from 3 exons. Lineage: Eukaryota; Metazoa; Chordata; Mammalia; Primates; Cebidae. The record is from RefSeq and is a predicted model, not a curated record.